RNAcentral lists this RNase P RNA (551 nucleotides) under Treponema sp. RNAcentral's name for it is "RNase P RNA component class A". It matches the Rfam family "Bacterial RNase P class A". From Rfam's summary of the family: Ribonuclease P (RNase P) is a ubiquitous endoribonuclease, found in archaea, bacteria and eukarya as well as chloroplasts and mitochondria. Lineage: Bacteria; Pseudomonadati; Spirochaetota; Spirochaetia; Treponematales; Treponemataceae. The record is from RNAcentral.
GCGAUGAACCAGACCGCCGCUUUGAGUUUAUCAGAAGGGUGAAUUCAGGGAGGAAAGUCCGGGCUCCGCAGGGCAUGAUGCCGGGUAACUCCCGGGGCUGGUUAUUUGGCAUUUUAAUGCCAGUGGCCGGAACAGAUAGCGCAACAGAAAGUAAACCGUCCGACCACUAGAGUCUUUGCCGGAUAUGCCUUACAUACCCGUAACUGUGCUUUAGUGGUCGGAUAAGGGUGAAACGGCGGGGUAAGAGCCCGCCUCGGCAGCGGCAACGCGGUCGGAAAGAUUUCAGUUUUGUUGGAAAAAAAUGGCAGGAGUUUCGCCGCAGGUGAAACUCCAAGCCGUUUUUCAGCAAGGCUGAAAAACGGCAAGCCUCAUCAGGAGCAAAGUUAAACAGUGCAGAAAAGGGCCUUUUCAAAGGCUCCUUUACGCCGGCUGCCCGCCGGUCAAGCACGGGUAGACUGCACAGAGAGAGCCGGAAACGGUUCUCCCAGACAGAUGACGGUACUUCAGCCGCAGGGCUGAAUACAGAACCCGGCUUAUGGUUCAUCGUUUUU